UACGUAGGGUGCAAGCGUUAAUCGGAAUUACUGGGCGUAAAGCGUGCGCAGGCGGCUUUGCAAGACAGAUGUGAAAUCCCCGGGCUCAACCUGGGAACUGCAUUUGUGACUGCAUGGCUAGAGUACGGUAGAGGGGGAUGGAAUUCCGCGUGUAGCAGUGAAAUGCGUAGAUAUGCGGAGGAACACCGGUGGCGAAGGCGGCCAUCUGGACGACUACUGACGCUGAGACGCGAAAGCGUGGGGAGCAAACAGG
Molecule: ribosomal RNA, 253 nt
Filed under: uncultured bacterium
Lineage: Bacteria
Description: partial 16S ribosomal RNA
Rfam family: Bacterial small subunit ribosomal RNA
Source: RNAcentral